This 216-nucleotide ribosomal RNA is filed under the name Glomeromycotina sp. RNAcentral's name for it is "partial small subunit ribosomal RNA". The stretch from base 44 to 216 matches the Rfam family "Eukaryotic small subunit ribosomal RNA", at positions 690 to 864 of the family's 1831-position model. Lineage: Eukaryota; Fungi; Glomeromycota. The record is from RNAcentral.
GGGUCAGUAGGUUGGUCGUGCCACCGGUACGUACUGGUCUCACUGAUUCCUCCUUCCUGAAGAACCGUAAUGCCAUUAAUUUGGUGUCGCGGGGAAACAGGACUGUUACUUUGAAAAAAUUAGAGUGUUUAAAGCAAGCUAACGCUUGAAUACAUUAGCAUGGAAUAAUGAAAUAGGACGAUCGAUCCUAUUUUGUUGGCUUCUAGGAUUGACGUA